AAGUCGUAACAAGGUUUCCGUAGGUGAACCUGCGGAAGGAUCAUUACCUUUUUCAGCACGGGGGCUGCAGUUCGCUGUGGUCUCUUGUCUGUAUCCAUGUCUUUUGCGUACUUAUAUGUUUCCUCGGCGGGUAACUCCGCCGAAUGGACAACCACAUAAACCUUUUUGUAAUUGCAAUCAGCGUCAGAAUAAAUUUAAAUAUUUACAACUUUCAACAACGGAUCUCUUGGUUCUG
RNAcentral lists this unclassified non-coding RNA (235 nucleotides) under fungal sp. Its description in RNAcentral is "partial internal transcribed spacer region". The stretch from base 1 to 46 matches the Rfam family "Eukaryotic small subunit ribosomal RNA", at positions 1786 to 1831 of the family's 1831-position model. Lineage: Eukaryota; Fungi. The record is from RNAcentral.